ACGAUAACGGCGUCGAGCGGCGGACGGGUGAGUAAUGCCUAGGAAAUUGCCCUGAUGUGGGGGAUAACCAUUGGAAACGAUGGCUAAUACCGCAUGAUGCCUACGGGCCAAAGAGGGGGACCUUCGGGCCUCUCGCGUCAGGAUAUGCCUAGGUGGGAUUAGCUAGUUGGUGAGGUAAGGGCUCACCAAGGCGACGAUCCCUAGCUGGUCUGAGAGGAUGAUCAGCCACACUGGAACUGAGACACGGUCCAGACUCCUACGGGAGGCAGCAGUGGGGAAUAUUGCACAAUGGGCGCAAGCCUGAUGCAGCCAUGCCGCGUGUGUGAAGAAGGCCUUCGGGUUGUAAAGCACUUUCAGUCGUGAGGAAGGUAGUGUAGUUAAUAGCUGCAUUAUUUGACGUUAGCGACAGAAGAAGCACCGGCUAACUCCGUGCCAGCAGCCGCGGUAAUACGGAGGGUGCGAGCGUUAAUCGGAAUUACUGGGCGUAAAGCGCAUGCAGGUGGUUUGUUAAGUCAGAUGUGAAAGCCCGGGGCUCAACCUCGGAAUAGCAUUUGAAACUGGCAGACUAGAGUACUGUAGAGGGGGGUAGAAUUUCAGGUGUAGCGGUGAAAUGCGUAGAGAUCUGAAGGAAUACCGGUGGCGAAGGCGGCCCCCUGGACAGAUACUGACACUCAGAUGCGAAAGCGUGGGGAGCAAACAGGAUUAGAUACCC
RNAcentral lists this ribosomal RNA (712 nucleotides) under Vibrio alginolyticus. Its description in RNAcentral is "bacterial SSU rRNA". It matches the Rfam family "Bacterial small subunit ribosomal RNA", at positions 79 to 787 of the family's 1533-position model. The record is from RNAcentral. Lineage: Bacteria; Pseudomonadati; Pseudomonadota; Gammaproteobacteria; Vibrionales; Vibrionaceae.